RNAcentral lists this ribosomal RNA (342 nucleotides) under uncultured soil bacterium. RNAcentral describes it as "bacterial SSU rRNA". It matches the Rfam family "Bacterial small subunit ribosomal RNA", at positions 26 to 381 of the family's 1533-position model. The record is from RNAcentral.
AGAUUGAACGCUGGCGGCAUGCCUAACACAUGCAAGUCGAACGGGAGUAGCAAUACUCUAGUGGCGGACGGGUGAGGAAUACGUAGGAAUUUGCCCUUAAGUGGGGGAUAACCCGGGGAAACCCGGAUUAAUACCGCAUGACCUCGAAAGAGCAAAGUGGGGGAUCGCAAGACCUCACGCUUUUGGAGAAGCCUACGUCGGAUUAGCUAGUUGGUGAGGUAAUGGCUCACCAAGGCGACGAUCCGUAACUGAUCUGAGAGGAUGAUCAGUCACACCGGAACUGAGACACGGUCCGGACUCCUACGGGAGCAGCAGUGGGGAAUAUUGGACAAUGGGCGCAAG